RNAcentral lists this ribosomal RNA (1369 nucleotides) under uncultured bacterium. RNAcentral's name for it is "bacterial SSU rRNA". It matches the Rfam family "Bacterial small subunit ribosomal RNA", at positions 28 to 1381 of the family's 1533-position model. The record is from RNAcentral.
GACGAACGCUGGCGGCGUGCCUAAUACAUGCAAGUAGAACGCUGAAGAGAGGAGCUUGCUCUUCUUGGAUGAGUUGCGAACGGGUGAGUAACGCGUAGGUAACCUGCCUUGUAGCGGGGGAUAACUAUUGGAAACGAUAGCUAAUACCGCAUAACAAUGGAUGACACAUGUCAUUUAUUUGAAAGGGGCAAUUGCUCCACUACAAGAUGGACCUGCGUUGUAUUAGCUAGUAGGUGAGGUAACGGCUCACCUAGGCGACGAUACAUAGCCGACCUGAGAGGGUGAUCGGCCACACUGGGACUGAGACACGGCCCAGACUCCUACGGGAGGCAGCAGUAGGGAAUCUUCGGCAAUGGGGGCAACCCUGACCGAGCAACGCCGCGUGAGUGAAGAAGGUUUUCGGAUCGUAAAGCUCUGUUGUAAGUCAAGAACGAGUGUGAGAGUGGAAAAUUCACACUGUGACGGUAGCUUACCAGAAAGGGACGGCUAACUACGUGCCAGCAGCCGCGGUAAUACGUAGGUCCCGAGCGUUGUCCGGAUUUAUUGGGCGUAAAGCGAGCGCAGGCGGUUUGAUAAGUCUGAAGUUAAAGGCUGUGGCUCAACCAUAGUUCGCUUUGGAAACUGUCAAACUUGAGUGCAGAAGGGGAGAGUGGAAUUCCAUGUGUAGCGGUGAAAUGCGUAGAUAUAUGGAGGAACACCGGUGGCGAAAGCGGCUCUCUGGUCUGUAACUGACGCUGAGGCUCGAAAGCGUGGGGAGCGAACAGGAUUAGAUACCCUGGUAGUCCACGCCGUAAACGAUGAGUGCUAGGUGUUGGAUCCUUUCCGGGAUUCAGUGCCGCAGCUAACGCAUUAAGCACUCCGCCUGGGGAGUACGACCGCAAGGUUGAAACUCCAAGGAAUUGACGGGGGCCCGCACAAGCGGUGGAGCAUGUGGUUUAAUUCGAAGCAACGCGAAGAACCUUACCAGGUCUUGACAUCCCGAUGCUAUUUCUAGAGAUAGAAAGUUACUUCGGUACAUCGGUGACAGGUGGUGCAUGGUUGUCGUCAGCUCGUGUCGUGAGAUGUUGGGUUAAGUCCCGCAACGAGCGCAACCCCUAUUGUUAGUUGCCAUCAUUCAGUUGGGCACUCUAGCGAGACUGCCGGUAAUAAACCGGAGGAAGGUGGGGAUGACGUCAAAUCAUCAUGCCCCUUAUGACCUGGGCUACACACGUGCUACAAUGGUUGGUACAACGAGUUGCGAGUCGGUGACGGCAAGCUAAUCUCUUAAAGCCAAUCUCAGUUCGGAUUGUAGGCUGCAACUCGCCUACAUGAAGUCGGAAUCGCUAGUAAUCGCGGAUCAGCACGCCGCGGUGAAUACGUUCCCGGGCCU